This 216-nucleotide ribosomal RNA is filed under the name Glomeromycotina sp. RNAcentral's name for it is "partial small subunit ribosomal RNA". The stretch from base 40 to 216 matches the Rfam family "Eukaryotic small subunit ribosomal RNA", at positions 686 to 864 of the family's 1831-position model. Lineage: Eukaryota; Fungi; Glomeromycota. The record is from RNAcentral.
GGGUCAGUAGGUUGGUCGUGCCACCGGUACGUACUGGUCUCACUGAUUCCUCCUUCCUGAAGAACCGUAAUGCCAUUAAUUUGGUGUUGCGGGGAAACAGGACUGUUACUUUGAAAAAAUUAGAGUGUUUAAAGCAAGCUAACGCUUGAAUGCAUUAGCAUGGAAUAAUGAAAUAGGACGAUCGAUCCUAUUUUGUUGGUUACUAGGAUUGACGUA